This 1226-nucleotide long non-coding RNA is filed under the name Taeniopygia guttata (zebra finch). RNAcentral describes it as "lncRNA (ENSTGUG00000021088.1)". Lineage: Eukaryota; Metazoa; Chordata; Aves; Passeriformes; Estrildidae. The record is from RNAcentral.
CUUUUUUUUUUGUUGUUGUUUGUUUGUUUGUUUUUUUUCCCCAAGUGUUGCUGGCUGCUCUGUCUUUAGUAAGAGUUAAUACAGCAUAGGAAUAAAGUAGGACUAAGUAACUAUGUCUAUUCAUACUUUCAAUUUUCUAUUUGGACUAAGGGAUUUGGUCAGUGACAGUAAAAACAGAGGACUAUGAAAGAAAUAUUUGGCAAACGUUUUUAGCAGUCUUUUAAAUAUGUGCCUUAACAAAUAAAUAAAUUAAGACACUCAGUCUGAAGGAAAGCAAAAAGCCAGAACUGAUAUCAGAGAGGCAUCUGUAUCAUGACAGGUUAUUAAUAAUUUGAAGUAAUAUUUAGCCUCAAAGAUAGCAAAACUGAAUAGUCACCAAUACUCAUCUGUCAUCUCAUUGGGUGAAGUGGGAUUUGAAAAUUUUAAAGCUCCUCAUCUGAGAUAUCACAAAAUUCCUGAAGGUUUUUUCCUUUCUUUUUUUUUUUUUUCCUCUUUUUUUCCUGAGUUUUGGACAAUAGUAGUACUACUACUGAUUGAGCCAACCAAAUGGUUGUGAAGGAACGAGCACUUACUAAAUACAUGUUUAGGGCCAAAUUCAAAUUCUGUGGAAACAUCUGGGAAACAUUAAUUUAGCUGAAAUGAAAUUAAGAUGCAGUUCUCAUGCUGUAUUUCCUAUAUGCUACCCCUGUACUUUUACAGAGAUUCAUGCAAGGAUCCUUAUUCCAUAUGGCUAUGUUGGCCUAACAAAUGUUGGCUAGAUUCUGUCAUCCUUGUAAUGAGUAAGUAAAAUUUUACCCAAGUCAAAUAAUUAAUUUUGAAUAAGUUCCUACUUACAUAAGAAUGUCAGAAUAUAGACCUUCAGAUUUAUCAUUUGCUGUAUAUUCCAGUCUUACACAUAUAGAUAUGAACUUAAUGGACCAUGGUAUGCUUAAAAAAAUAACUGGAAAUUCAGAAUGAAGCAAAGAAACAAAUCAACCAACAAUAACAGGAUGAAAGAGAAAUUAAUAGGAAUAAAAUCCCUUAGGAAUCUGCCCAAGAACUAACACAACACAAUCAGAAAUUCAGAACAUUUAUUGCAAAAGCUGAAUAACUAAAUAAUGUUGAACUGGCAAAGCAGUAACAAGGAUAACUGGUUAGAUAUUUAUUCUGUCAAAGUCAUCAAACAACCCUCACAAACUGACAUAAGUACUGCAAUAAGCAAUGCACCCCUAACCCAUUUUUAAGCC